GUCCAGACUCCUACGGGAGGCAGCAGUAGGGAAUCUUUCACAAUGGGCGAAAGCCUGAUGGAGCAACGCCGCGUGCAGGAUGAAGGCCUUCGGGUUGUAAACUGCUUUUAUAAGCGAGAAAUAUGAUGGUAACUUAUGAAUAAGGAUCGGCUAACUCCGUGCCAGCAGCCGCGGUAAUACGGAGGAUCCGAGCGUUAUCCGGAUUUAUUGGGUUUAAAGGGAGCGUAGAUGGGUUGUUAAGUCAGUUGUGAAAGUUGGCGGCUCAACCGUAAAAUUGCAAUUGAUACUGGCAGUCUUGAGUACAGUUGAGGUAGGCGGAAUUCCUGGUGUAGCGGUGAAAUGCGUAGAUAUCAGGAGGAACACCGGUGGCGAAGGCGGCCUGCUGGACUGCAACUGACGUUGAGGCCCGAAAGCGUGGGGAGCAAACAGGAUUAGAUACCCUAGUA
This 446-nucleotide ribosomal RNA is filed under the name uncultured bacterium. RNAcentral describes it as "bacterial SSU rRNA". It matches the Rfam family "Bacterial small subunit ribosomal RNA", at positions 329 to 792 of the family's 1533-position model. The record is from RNAcentral.